RNAcentral lists this ribosomal RNA (445 nucleotides) under uncultured bacterium. RNAcentral describes it as "partial 16S ribosomal RNA". It matches the Rfam family "Bacterial small subunit ribosomal RNA", at positions 354 to 796 of the family's 1533-position model. The record is from RNAcentral.
GUAAGGAAUAUUGGACAAUGGACGCAAGUCUGAUCCAGCCAUGCCGCGUGAAGGAUUAAGGUCCUCUGGAUUGUAAACUUCUUUUAUAAGGGACGAAAAAAGGCUUUUCUAAGUCGUCUGACGGUACCUUAUGAAUAAGCACCGGCUAACUCCGUGCCAGCAGCCGCGGUAAUACGGAGGGUGCAAGCGUUAUCCGGAUUCACUGGGUUUAAAGGGUGCGUAGGCGGGCAGGUAAGUCAGUGGUGAAAUCCUAGAGCUUAACUCUAGAACUGCCAUUGAUACUAUCUGUAUUGAAUAUUGUGGAGGUAAGCGGAAUAUGUCAUGUAGCGGUGAAAUGCUUAGAUAUGACAUAGAACACCUAUUGCGAAGGCAGCUUACUACGCAUAUAUUGACGCUGAGGCACGAAAGCGUGGGGAUCAAACAGGAUUAGAUACCCGGGUAGUCC